GAGAUGUUGGGUUAAGUCCCGCAACGAGCGCAACCCUUGAUCUUAGUUGCCAUCAUUUAGUUGGGCACUCUAAGGUGACUGCCGGUGACAACCCGGAGGAAGGUGGGGAUGACGUCAAAUCAUCAUGCCCCUUAUGACCUGGGCUACACACGUGCUACAAUGGACGGUACAAAGAGCUGCAAGACCGCGAGGUGGAGCUAAUCUCAUAAAACCGUUCUCAGUUCGGAUUGUAGGCUGCAACUCGCCUACAUGAAGCUGGAAUCGCUAGUAAUCGCGGAUCAGCAUGCCGCGGUGAAUACGUUCCCGGGCCUUGUACACACCGCCCGUCACACCACGAGAGUUUGUAACACCCGAAGUCGGUGGGGUAACCUUUU
RNAcentral lists this ribosomal RNA (374 nucleotides) under Bacillus anthracis (anthrax bacterium). RNAcentral describes it as "bacterial SSU rRNA". It matches the Rfam family "Bacterial small subunit ribosomal RNA", at positions 1069 to 1444 of the family's 1533-position model. Lineage: Bacteria; Bacillati; Bacillota; Bacilli; Caryophanales; Bacillaceae. The record is from RNAcentral.